Molecule: non-coding RNA, 186 nt
Filed under: Pediococcus cellicola
Lineage: Bacteria; Bacillati; Bacillota; Bacilli; Lactobacillales; Lactobacillaceae
Description: Lysine sequence
Rfam family: Lysine riboswitch aptamer
About the family: Riboswitches are metabolite binding domains within certain messenger RNAs that serve as precision sensors for their corresponding targets. Allosteric rearrangement of mRNA structure is mediated by ligand binding, and this results in modulation of gene expression. This family includes riboswitches that sense lysine in a number of genes involved in lysine metabolism, including lysC.
Source: Rfam by way of RNAcentral
AUCGAAAGAAGAGGUUGCCAAACUCAUGAGUCAUGACUGGGAGAUCAAAAAGGAUCGCUAAUCAGUCAUAAAAGGGUGUUUGGCCGAAAUUCAAAGUUGCUUUUUCAACUGCGAGUUGGGUCCUGGCUCAAUAAGUCAGGGACUGUCGUGAUAUUUUCAAAGGUAUCACGGGGCGCUAUCUACGAU